RNAcentral lists this ribosomal RNA (497 nucleotides) under uncultured bacterium. Its description in RNAcentral is "partial 16S ribosomal RNA". It matches the Rfam family "Bacterial small subunit ribosomal RNA", at positions 30 to 523 of the family's 1533-position model. The record is from RNAcentral.
AUUGAACGCUGGCGGCAUGCUUUACACAUGCAAGUCGAACGGUAACAAGUCUUCGGAUGCUGACGAGUGGCGAACGGGUGAGUAAUGCAUCGGAACGUGCCCAGUCGUGGGGGAUAACGCAGCGACAGCUGCGCUAAUACCGCAUACGAUCUAUGGAUGAAAGCGGGGACCGUAACGCCUCGCGCGAUUGGAGCGGCCGAUGUCAGUUUAGGUAUGUGGUGGGGUAAAGGCCCACCAAGCCAACGAUCUGUAGCUGGUGUGAGUGGACGACCAGCCACACUGGGACUGAGACACGGCCCAGACUCCUACGGGAGGCAGCAGUGGGGAAUUUUGGACAAUGGGCGCAAGCCUGAUCCAGCAAUGCCGCGUGCAGGAAGAAGGCCUUCGGGUUGUAAACUGCUUUUGUACGGAACGAAACGGCUCUCUCUAAUACAGAGGGCUAAUGACGGUACCGUAAGAAUAAGCACCGGCUAACUACGUGCCAGCCGCCGCCGUAA